AGAGUUUGAUCCUGGCUUAGGAUGAACGCUGGCGGCGUGCCUAACACAUGCAAGUCGAGCGAUUCUCUUCGGAGAAGAGCGGCGGACGGGUGAGUAACGCGUGGGUAACCUGCCUCAUACACAUGGAUAACAUACCGAAAGGUAUGCUAAUACAAGAUAAUAUAGAAAUUCACAUGGAUUUCUUAUCAAAGCUCCGGCGGUAUGAGAUGGACCCGCGUCUGAUUAGCUAGUUGGUAAGGUAACGGCUUACCAAGGCGACGAUCAGUAGCCGACCUGAGAGGGUGAUCGGCCACAUUGGAACCGAGACACGGUCCAAACUCCUACGGGAGGCAGCAGUGGGGAAUAUUGCACAAUGGGCGAAAGCCUGAUGCAGCAACGCCGCGUGAGUGACGAAGGCCUUCGGGUCGUAAAACUCUGUCCUCAAGGAAGAUAAUGACGGUACUUGAGGAGGAAGCCCCGGCUAACUACGUGCCAGCAGCCGC
RNAcentral lists this ribosomal RNA (482 nucleotides) under uncultured bacterium. RNAcentral describes it as "bacterial SSU rRNA". It matches the Rfam family "Bacterial small subunit ribosomal RNA", at positions 8 to 518 of the family's 1533-position model. The record is from RNAcentral.